GCGCAUUCUUGCAAGUUCUUUUGUUAUGCCCUUCACCUCCACAAUUUCCACACGACACCUUGUACUUCUUUGAGUUUAUUUCAUCAAAUGGUUUAUAUCUUUCCUUGUGAGGUCUACCUGGCUGCCUUUUAUCUCCUGCCGGUGGCUUUACUACCUUAUCCAAAAUAUGUUGUGGAACAUCCCAUUUGGCUAUAUCAAGAAGAGGAUUUACUGGCAUUCCAUAGGUAAGAAGAAGGCUCUUCCUUGUGUAAUACGGAGAGCAAUAGUUGUCAGGCCUUUCAU
This 282-nucleotide long non-coding RNA is filed under the name Nicotiana benthamiana. Its description in RNAcentral is "long non-coding RNA (NBEN_LNC013771)". The record is from RNAcentral. Lineage: Eukaryota; Viridiplantae; Streptophyta; Magnoliopsida; Solanales; Solanaceae.